UAUCUAGAGUGGUGGAGGGAAAGGCCCAAUGAAGCCCGGCAACCAGCAAUAGCAUGGUGCCAAUACCUUCAGGAAACUGAAUGAU
Molecule: non-coding RNA, 85 nt
Filed under: uncultured Pseudoramibacter sp.
Lineage: Bacteria; Bacillati; Bacillota; Clostridia; Eubacteriales; Eubacteriaceae
Description: SAM riboswitch (S box leader)
Rfam family: SAM riboswitch aptamer (S box leader)
About the family: The SAM riboswitch is found upstream of a number of genes which code for proteins involved in methionine or cysteine biosynthesis in Gram-positive bacteria. The SAM riboswitch acts at the level of transcription termination control. The predicted structure consists of a complex stem-loop region followed by a single stem loop terminator region.
Source: RNAcentral